GAAGGUGGCAAGCGUUAUUCGGAUUUACUGGGCGUACAGGGAGCGUAGGCGGUUCGGUAAGCCCUUUGUGAAAUCUUCAGGCUUAACCUGAAAAAGUCGGAGGGGACUGCCGGGCUAGAGGACGGGAGAGGAGCGCGGAAUUCCCGGUGUAGCGGUGAAAUGCGUAGAGAUCGGGAGGAAGGCCGGUGGCGAAGGCGGCGCUCUGGAACGUUUCUGACGCUGAGGCUCGAAAGCGUGGGGAGCAAACAGGAUUAGAUACCCUGGUAGUCCACGCCUUAAACUAUGAAUACUAAGUGUCGGCGGGUUACCGCCGGUGCCGCAGCUAACGCAUUAAGUAUUCCGCCUGGGAAGUACGGCCGCAAGGUUG
Molecule: ribosomal RNA, 367 nt
Filed under: uncultured bacterium
Lineage: Bacteria
Description: bacterial SSU rRNA
Rfam family: Bacterial small subunit ribosomal RNA
Source: RNAcentral